Oncorhynchus tshawytscha (Chinook salmon) is the source of this 829-nucleotide long non-coding RNA. Lineage: Eukaryota; Metazoa; Chordata; Actinopteri; Salmoniformes; Salmonidae. The record is from Ensembl.
CCCCGUGGCCCUGAGCCUACUCUCCGAGGGUAAAGGCCCUGAGCCUACUCUCCAAGGGUAAAGGCCCCGCAGCCCUGAGCCUACUCUCCGAGGGCCCCGCCCCCGCGGCCCUGAGCCCAGUCUCCGAGGGUAAAGGCCCCGCCCCACGGCCCUGAGCCCAGUCUCCGAGGGUAAAGGCCCCGCCCCACGGCCCUGAGCCUACUCUCCGAGGGUAAAGGCCCCGCGGCCCUGAGCCUACUCUCCGAGGGUAAAGGCCCCGCGGCCCUGAGCCUACUCUCCGAGGGUAAAGGCCCCGCGGCCCUGAGCCUACUCUCCGAGGGUAAAGGCCCCGCGGCCCUGAGCCUACUCUCCGAGGGUAAAGGCCCCGCGGCCCUGAGCCCAGUCUCCGAGGGUAAAGGCCCCGCCCCACGGCCCUGAGCCUACUCUCCGAGGGUAAAUGCCCCGUGGCCCUGAGCCUACUCUCCAAGGGUAAAGGCCCCGCAGCCCUGAGCCUACUCUCCGAGGGUAAAGGCCCUGAGGGUGUCUCAUGGGCACAAAACACAGUUCCAUUUAACACCUCACACUGUACAGGUCACCAACUAUUUGACAUUUUGAACCCCUGAAGACAACGCAGCCAAGCCUCGGGGUUAGUGUGUGAGUGUGUGUGUGUGUGUGUGUGUGUGUGUGUGUCUGAUGGUGAUCUGUGGUCCCCUGAGGGAUGUGGAGACGUGUUUCCCUGAGUCUUCCUGCAGCUAAAUCAGUGUAUUAAACCUGCCACACACACCCAUCUGUGCUUUGUAAAUCUGUGCACACCCAGCAAUCUAAAUGACACACAGCCAGUUCUCUAAAU